This 274-nucleotide ribosomal RNA is filed under the name uncultured bacterium. Its description in RNAcentral is "partial 16S ribosomal RNA". It matches the Rfam family "Bacterial small subunit ribosomal RNA", at positions 523 to 796 of the family's 1533-position model. The record is from RNAcentral.
AUACGGAGGGUGCAAGCGUUGUUCGGAUUUAUUGGGCGUAAAGCGAGUGUAGGCGGUUUGACAAGUCGAAUGUGAAAUCCCGAGGCCCAACCUCGGAACUGCAUCCGAAACUGUCAAGCUAGAGUCCCGGAGAGGGUGGCGGAAUUCCCGGUGUAGGGGUGAAAUCCGUAGAUAUCGGGAGGAACACCAGUGGCGAAGGCGGCCACCUGGACGGUGACUGACGCUGAGACUCGAAAGUGUGGGUAGCAAACAGGAUUAGAAACCCUAGUAGUCC